AACGCUGGCGGCGUGCCUAAUACAUGCAAGUCGAACGAGAUGCUUUUGUAGCAAUACGAGAGUAUUCUAGUGGCGAACGGGUGAGUAACGCGUUGGUGACCUACCCCAAAGUGUGGGAUAACAGUCCGAAAGGAUUGCUAAUACCGCAUGUGGUCUUCGGAUUUAGAAACUGAUGACUAAAGGAGCAAUUCGCUUUGGGAGGGACCUGCGUCCCAUCAGCUAGUUGGUGAGGUAAUGGCUCACCAAGGCGACGACGGGUAGGGGACCUGAGAGGGUGGCCCCCCACAAUAGAACUGAAACACGGUCCAUACACCUACGGGUGGCAGCAGUAGGGAAUAUUGCUCAAUGGGCGAAAGCCUGAAGCAGCAACGCCGCGUGUGCGAUGAAGGCCUUCGGGUCGUAAAGCACUUUUCUGAGAGAUGAGAAAGGACAGUAUCUCAGGAAUAAGUCUCGGCUAACUACGUGCCAGCAGCCGCGGUAAAACGUAGGAGGCAAGCGUUAUCCGGAUUCACUGGGCGUAAAGCGCGUGCAGGCGGUGCGGUAAGUUGGGCGUGAAAUCUCCCGGCUCAACUGGGAUAGGUCGUCCAAUACUACCGUACUUGAGAGCAGAAGAGGAAAAUGGAAUUCCCGGUGUAGUGGUGAAAUGCGUAGAUAUCGGGAGGAACACCAGUGGCGAAGGCGAUUUUCUGGUCUGUUUCUGACGCUCAGACGCGACAGCUAGGGUAGUAAACGGGAUUAGAGACCCCGGUAAUCCUAGCCGUAAACGAUGUGAACUUGGCGUUGGUGGGUUAAACUCCAUCAGUGCCGCAGCAAACGCGAUAAGUUCACCGCCUGGGGACUACGGCC
This 846-nucleotide ribosomal RNA is filed under the name uncultured bacterium. RNAcentral's name for it is "bacterial SSU rRNA". It matches the Rfam family "Bacterial small subunit ribosomal RNA", at positions 32 to 887 of the family's 1533-position model. The record is from RNAcentral.